This 1165-nucleotide long non-coding RNA is filed under the name Citrus sinensis (sweet orange). Its description in RNAcentral is "long non-coding RNA (CSIN_LNC004083)". Lineage: Eukaryota; Viridiplantae; Streptophyta; Magnoliopsida; Sapindales; Rutaceae. The record is from RNAcentral.
UUAAGAUUUAUUGAUUCCAUAAUAUGCCAAGAAAUAAUAAGAAUAAAACUCAAACUAAGAGUUUAUUCAAAAAAAUAAUCAAUAACAAACAAAAAUUUGCUUGUAACAACUAUAAAAGACACUCAUUAUUACUAACUACAACUUAUCAUAAUUUGACUAGAAAAAUUAUUUUAAUGAGACUCAUACUUAAAUUAAAAAUACAACUCAAUUAGAAAUACCUAAAUAAUAAAACUUUAAAUAGACAACUAAAUUAAACUAUAAUAUAAAUUAAUUAAAUAAUUUCUAAAUAUAAUAUAUUUCAAUCUAAUUCCCGCUAGGAUGGAAAAAUUCAGUCUCAAAUUUUGCUCCUUAUAGUCUUCAAUACAUCUUUCUUGUAUUCAUUUAUUUUUUUUUCUCUCUAAUUUAUUCAUUCGUUUAUUUAUUUUUUUGUAAAACUAAAAUACAAAAUAAACUGCAAGACUGUUGAAGGUCCGAUAUGGUUGCGGUUGCGGCGAGGAGCACAAUGGUGGCAACGUUUUGGUCCAAUUCGCAGUGAUAUGACCAGAAAAUCAAAUCCAAGUGGUCGCAAGCGUUGGCCUCGAUUCCGACAAUAGGCGUGUCGAUCGGUUGUAAAAAAUUUGUCGAAAAAGAUUGUACUGGUGAAGGGAAGUUGACUGUUGGCGGUGGUGUUGGACAACACGCGGUGGAAAUCGACAAAUGGAAGUGGCGGCGCUUGCGGCUUUUGUUGCUGCUUUCCAGCGGUUUUGUAGCUGAACGGUGGCGUUUUUGCUAGGGGUUUGGUGGUCGGCUUUCUCUGACUUCGUUAGUGGUUUUGAUCGACGGCAAACUUACGGGGUGUUUGUGAAUAGAGGUCGCUAUGGAGUUUAGGUUUUCUAAUUCGAGAAUUUCUGAUAUAUAGUUAUUGAAUACUGGUCGCUAUGGAGGUUUAAUUUAUUUAAUCACAAUUUCAUCUAGGUUUUCGGUUCUACGAAAAAAUGUUUUGUUGUGAAAUUGAUGCAGUGAAAGAAUAAAGUGAUGUAAGGUCAUGGAUAAAUAGGAGAUAUUCUCAAAAUUAACAUGUAUUGAAAAUACAUGUUAAUUUUGAGAAUAUCAAUAAAUCCAAGAUGUUAAAAUUUGUUAAUUCCACGUUAUAUUAAAAGUUAAUUAAAUUAGAAUUCAAUCGAAG